RNAcentral lists this ribosomal RNA (468 nucleotides) under uncultured bacterium. RNAcentral's name for it is "partial 16S ribosomal RNA". It matches the Rfam family "Bacterial small subunit ribosomal RNA", at positions 28 to 507 of the family's 1533-position model. The record is from RNAcentral.
GACGAACGCUGGCGGCGUGCUUAACGCAUGCAAGUCGAACGGAAAGGCCCUGCUCUUGUGGGGUGCUCGAGUGUCGAACGGUUGAGUAACACGUGAGUAACCUGCCCUUGACUUUGGGAUAACUUCAGGAAACUGGGGCUAAUACCGGAUAGGAGCUCCUGCUGCAUGGUGGGGGUUGGAACGUUUCGGCGGUUGGGGAUGGACUCGCGGCUUAUCAGCUUGUUGGUGGGGUAGUGGCUUACCAAGGCUUUGACGGGUAGCCGGCCUGAGAGGGUGACCGGCCACAUUGGGACUGAGAUACGGCCCAGACUCCUACGGGAGGCAGCAGUGGGGAAUAUUGCACAAGGGGCGGAAGCCUGAUGCAGCAACGCAGCGUGAGGGAUGACGGCCUUAGGGUUGUAAACCGCUUUCGCAUGUGACGAAGCGUGAGUGACGGUAAUGGGUAAAGAAGCACCGGCUAACUACGUG